CGCGUAGGCGGGCAACCAAGUCCGAGGUGAAAUCCUCCAGCUUAACUGGAGAAGUGCCCCGGAUACUGGUGGCCUCGAGGAGGGUAGGGGCAUCUGGAACUAGCGGUGGAGCGGUGAAAUGCGUUGAUAUCGCUAGGAACUCCGGUGGCGAAGGCGAGGUGCUGGACCCUUUCUGACGCUGAGGCGCGAAAGCCAGGGGAGCGAACGGGAUUAGAUACCCCGGUAGUCCUGGCCCUAAACGAUGAGAACUAGAUAGCGGACUUGAUAUGAGUGCGCUGUCGGAGCAAAAGUGCUAAGUUCUCCGCCUGGGGAGUAUGGUCGCAAGGCUGAA
RNAcentral lists this ribosomal RNA (331 nucleotides) under uncultured Gemmata sp. RNAcentral's name for it is "bacterial SSU rRNA". It matches the Rfam family "Bacterial small subunit ribosomal RNA", at positions 568 to 898 of the family's 1533-position model. The record is from RNAcentral. Lineage: Bacteria; Pseudomonadati; Planctomycetota; Planctomycetia; Gemmatales; Gemmataceae.